CGGGAUGUAGCGCAGCUUGGUAGCGCGUACGGUUCGGGACCGUAAGGCCGCAGGUUCGAAUCCUGUCAUCCCGACCA
This 77-nucleotide transfer RNA is filed under the name Clostridiaceae bacterium. Its description in RNAcentral is "tRNA-Pro". It matches the Rfam family "tRNA". From Rfam's summary of the family: Transfer RNA (tRNA) molecules are approximately 80 nucleotides in length. Lineage: Bacteria; Bacillati; Bacillota; Clostridia; Eubacteriales; Clostridiaceae. The record is from RNAcentral. RNAcentral also lists the same sequence under 1 other name.